This 1057-nucleotide long non-coding RNA is filed under the name Anolis carolinensis (green anole). RNAcentral's name for it is "lncRNA (ENSACAG00000034976.1)". The record is from RNAcentral. Lineage: Eukaryota; Metazoa; Chordata; Lepidosauria; Squamata; Anolidae.
AUGACCCAGUUAGUUCAGUCAUGCAACAGACUCAAAAGAGGUACCAGAUAUUUGGUGCUGGAGGAAAAUCCAGAGAGUGCCUUGGACCGCAAGAAGAUCCAACCAGUCCAUUCUCCAGGAAAUAGUGCCCGGCUCCUCACUGGAGGGAAGGAUAUUAGAGGCAAAGAUGAAGUAUUUUGGCCACAUCAUGAAAAGACAGGAAAGCUUGGAAAAGAUCAUGAUGCUGGGGGAAAUGGAAGGAAAAAGGAAGAGAGGCCGACCAAGGGGAAGAUGGAUAGACAGUAUCUUUGAAGUGACUGGCUUGACCUUGAAGGAACUGGGGGGGGGGGGGCGGCAGCUGACAGGGGACUCUGACAUGGACUGGUCCAUGAGAUCACGAAAAGUCGUAAAUGACUGAGUGAAUGAAAAAGAAGAUCAGAGAUUUAACUCCUACUGCAGUGCCAAGUAAGACUAGAAGGAACAGAGAAGAAUGGCUUAACCGAGGAAGGUGUACCCACAACAAAGGCCAAAACAAGGAAGCACUACCCGGGAUACCUUGUAGUAAUCUCUUAAAACUCCUCUCUGAUACUACUGCAAUUCUUGAUACAACAAAUAGUCCUCCAAGAAAUUUAGGAUUGUAGAACACAUUUACCACUGCUAGCCCACCAAAUUUCAGAACAUUCACUUAUCCACGGAUUUUUGGGGAAUUUUCAAAGUAUAAACACUUUUUAAAUAAUAAAUAAAAUACGUUCCUAGUUUGAAAAUUUUAUUUUGGUGGUGUAGUCCUUACUUUGAAAGUUGUUGUUCUACCCUAGAAACUUUGUUUGUGUGGAACAAACUAUGUUGAAUUGGUUGAGACUCGAAAAUGAGAUAUUCAUUGAAAAACUAUUGUGCUAUAGCUGAUGCCCCUCUUGCAAAAACAACAUUUUUGCAGUUUAAUGAACUUUUCCUAUGUUUUUAUAAUAGAACCAAUUAGGAAAUGACAUUUAUAAGCCAGGAACAAAAAUCAUAGUGUAGAAUAUUAACCAAUUUAUUGGAACUCUGGCUGGCUACGGAGGAGCAAAUCUCUCUCUCCUAU